This 119-nucleotide ribosomal RNA is filed under the name Macleaya cordata. Lineage: Eukaryota; Viridiplantae; Streptophyta; Magnoliopsida; Ranunculales; Papaveraceae. The record is from RNAcentral.
GGGUGCGAUCAUACCAGCACUAAUGCCUCGGAUCCCAUCAGAACUCUGUAGUAAAGCGUGCAUAGGCGAGAGUAGUACUAGGAUGGGUUACCUCCUGGGAAGUCCUCGUGUUGCAACAU